This 2022-nucleotide long non-coding RNA is filed under the name Marmota monax (woodchuck). The record is from RNAcentral. Lineage: Eukaryota; Metazoa; Chordata; Mammalia; Rodentia; Sciuridae.
GGAGUGGGGUUCUCUGGGGCUGAGAUGGCACGUUGUGGAGCUUAGGAACACCCAUUUAUUCUCUCUUUUCUUCAAAUAGCAGGUGGUAUGCAACAGCUGGAAGGAGAUGAAUAUCAACCCUCCAGAAGCCCCAGGGUGGAAGGUCCUGUCCCUGUGGCUCUUCCCUGAGGUCUUUGCUGCUUGUCUUCUUGUAGGGCAUGAACCUCCUGGAGGAACAGUGCCAAGGUCUGAGGUCCAGGAAGCUAAACUGGAGUUAGAGAGACAAAUGCUGCAGAGAGCAGAGGCAGCUACAGGAAGCAGGAGCCGAGCCUGUGAAGUCGGGCAGCGGCGGGGCCAGAGGUGGAGGAGGGCAGCUGGAGAGGGAAGCUUCUGGGAAGCCAGAUGCCCCGGAGGCAGGAGUGCGUGGACACUCCCUGAGGUCCAAGUGCUGAGGCUGGGCAGGACUUGAUGACACUCAUUUCCUUUAGCCCUCCUGCAGCAAGGGGCCUCACCUCCUUUACAGCAGAUUGAGCUUAUAUAAGGAGUUUGAGGGACUUGCUGGAGCUCUCACAGCCAGUGGUGUCGAGAAGAUUUUGAUCCACGUCUAUCAGAUUCCACGUGGCUCUCCGACCCUCCAUUAGCAGUUCACCCGAGAGAGGAGGUGGCGCCAGGGGAGAUGACAGGACUCAAGCUCCAGAAUUCCAGAAACUGAAGACUGAAAUACACCAGCUCUGCCUCCAGAAGAAAUUAGGUCUCAGCCAGAAAAAUGUCAUGUCUUAAUUAGGUAACCAAUUAAUUUUUGAGCAGAAGUCAAGAAACAACCAUCCUCCCUCAGCCCUCUCUGCACCCCCCCUUCUUCCUUGUGUCCCUGCCACCCCAUCUUCCUUCCUCCCUCUGACAUGAUUCAUGGAGCAAUUACAACCUGUCAGGAAUAAUGUUAAUUAUGAAGAACAAGCAUGAAUAAGAGCCAUUCCCUGCCCUUGGGAAACUCAAGCACGUGGGGGAGUUCCAGGAAACUGAGGCAGCUCUUUACAGACUCCUCAUGCUCAGCACAGUUUUGUCCUUGCUUCUGAACUCCGAAGUUCACGGUCAGGCCCAGCCAACCCCAUGCUUCUCCUCCAGCCCAGCUCCCCCUGUUAGGGAUAGGUCAAGCUCCCUCCAAGCCUCUCUUCCUGGAGCCACUCCAGGGGAUGCACAGAGCGGGCAGUGAGCUUCGAACAAGCCUGAGCCUUUGGGCUUUGCAUCUGCUCACAGCUGUGCCUGGGGUGGCCCAAAUUCUCCAGGUCAUAAGUCACACUGACUUCCAAUCUUGGAACAUAGGAACAGUUUCUUGGCUUCCAGCCUCUUCCUCUGUAGCCUCUGACCCAAUCAACUCCUCUGCCUGAAGCCAGUCACCACACCCCAUUCCUCCCUGCUACGCAUGGCAGGGCAGAGCAAGGCUUAGUGGCACCCAUGCUGCCCACUCUCAAGGCCUGAUGCCUGUUUUCCUCUCUCAUUUAUUUCUCUGUGUACCACUUAUGAUCAUGCACUCCUCCUUUCUUGCCUCUCCAAUUCUUCUUCUAGCUCCAACCAUACACCCCUUCUCUUCUUCUUCUCUUUACUUUCCUCUUGAUUCUUCAACUCAAAACCCCCAAAUGUAACAUCUGGCAAGUCAAGACCGUCCCUGGAGAGAGGGGAGGGAAAGAUGUUGAUUGGGAGAAACCAUAUCCUCUUGCCUACGUGGAGGAGAUGGAAAAGACCGGAAACAUUUUUAUAGUAAUAAUUUUUUCCCCAUCACAAUAGCUAUCACUUCAGGGAGCCCUUCCCUCUGAGCCCCAUAGGAUAAUUUCUGGAUUAAACUAACCAUAUUCCUAGGUUAUUUUUGUCCCCACUGAUUCCAAAUAUUUUGUUCCAAUUCCAAGCUACAAUGGGCUACCAUCAGUCAACUGUUCCAACUUUGAGUUGAGAAGUGUGUCUAGACAAAAUCAUGGAAUUUGCAGGGAAAUGGAUGGCACUAGAGCAGAUUAUGCUUAGUGAAGCUAGCCAAUCCCUAAAAAACAAAUA